UACGAAGGGGGCUAGCGUUGUUCGGAAUCACUGGGCGUAAAGGGCGCGUAGGCGGCCGUUCAAGUCGGGGGUGAAAGCCUGUGGCUCAACCACAGAAUGGCCUUCGAUACUGGACGGCUCGAGACCGGAAGAGGUCAGUGGAACUGCGAGUGUAGAGGUGAAAUUCGUAGAUAUUCGCAAGAACACCAGUGGCGAAGGCGGCUGACUGGUCCGGUUCUGGCGCUGAGGCGCGAAAGUGCGGGGAUCAAACAGG
This 253-nucleotide ribosomal RNA is filed under the name uncultured bacterium. RNAcentral's name for it is "partial 16S ribosomal RNA". It matches the Rfam family "Bacterial small subunit ribosomal RNA", at positions 524 to 776 of the family's 1533-position model. The record is from RNAcentral.